UGAGAGUAGUGGACAGAAGGGAU
This 23-nucleotide non-coding RNA is filed under the name Cricetulus griseus (Chinese hamster). Lineage: Eukaryota; Metazoa; Chordata; Mammalia; Rodentia; Cricetidae. The record is from RNAcentral.